Molecule: ribosomal RNA, 429 nt
Filed under: Fusobacteriota bacterium
Lineage: Bacteria; Fusobacteriati; Fusobacteriota
Description: Fusobacteria bacterium partial 16S ribosomal RNA
Rfam family: Bacterial small subunit ribosomal RNA
Source: RNAcentral
UGGGGAAUAUUGCGCAAUGGGCGAAAGCUUGACGCAGCGACGCCGCGUGAGGGAUGAAGGUUUUCGGAUCGUAAACCUCUGUCAGAAGGGAAGAAACCGCACUGUGCUAAUCAGCAGUGCCUUGACGGUACCUUCAAAGGAAGCACCGGCUAACUCCGUGCCAGCAGCCGCGGUAAUACGGAGGGUGCAAGCGUUAAUCGGAAUUACUGGGCGUAAAGCGCACGUAGGCUGCUUUGUAAGUCAGGGGUGAAAUCCCACGGCUCAACCGUGGAACUGCCUUUGAUACUGCUUAGCUUGAAUCCGGGAGAGGGUGGCGGAAUUCCAGGUGUAGGAGUGAAAUCCGUAGAUAUCUGGAGGAACAUCAGUGGCGAAGGCGGCCACCUGGACCGGUAUUGACGCUGAGGUGCGAAAGCGUGGGGAGCAAACAGG